AUGCACCACUCGCACGCUCGGGCUCCUGUGCCCAGCCACGCCCAUCUGGUAACUGCUCGCGGCCUGUUUACCACUC
Molecule: small RNA, 76 nt
Filed under: Xanthomonas vasicola
Lineage: Bacteria; Pseudomonadati; Pseudomonadota; Gammaproteobacteria; Lysobacterales; Lysobacteraceae
Also listed under: 8 other names
Description: sX9
Source: RNAcentral